CCCAAGGUAAGGAAUAACGUCGAGAAAUCGGCGCUAAUACCUCAUAAUGCAGCGGAUCCGCAUGGAUAUGUUGUUAAGGUUUACCGCCUUGGGAUAGGCUUGCGUCUGAUUAGCUAGUUGGUGUGGUAAUGGCACACCAAGGCUACGAUCAGUAACUGGUCUGAGAGGAUGAUCAGUCACACUGGAACUGAGACACGGUCCAGACUCCUACGGGAGGCAGCAGUGAGGAAUAUUGGGCAAUGCACGAAAGUGUGACCCAGCAACGCCGCGUGGAGGAUGAAGGUAUUCUAUAUCGUAAACUCCUGUGAGAGCAGACGAAAGACAGAUUAUUAAUUUGGAUGACUGUAUGCUCAGAGGAAGCCCCGGCUAACUACGUG
Molecule: ribosomal RNA, 377 nt
Filed under: uncultured bacterium
Lineage: Bacteria
Description: bacterial SSU rRNA
Rfam family: Bacterial small subunit ribosomal RNA
Source: RNAcentral